RNAcentral lists this ribosomal RNA (274 nucleotides) under uncultured bacterium. RNAcentral's name for it is "partial 16S ribosomal RNA". It matches the Rfam family "Bacterial small subunit ribosomal RNA", at positions 523 to 796 of the family's 1533-position model. The record is from RNAcentral.
AUACGGAGGGUGCGAGCGUUAAUCGGAAUUACUGGGCGUAAAGCGUGCGUAGGCGGUUUGCUAAGUCAGAUGAGAAAGCCCCGGGCUUAACCUGGGAACUGCAUUUGAUACUGGCAGACUAGAGUAUGAUAGAGGGGGGUAGAAUUCCUGGUGUAGCGGUGAAAUGCGUAGAUAUCAGGAGGAAUACCAGUGGCGAAGGCGGCCCCCUGGAUCAAUACUGACGCUGAGGUACGAAAGCGUGGGGAGCGAACAGGAUUAGAAACCCUAGUAGUCC